RNAcentral lists this ribosomal RNA (500 nucleotides) under uncultured bacterium. Its description in RNAcentral is "partial 16S ribosomal RNA". It matches the Rfam family "Bacterial small subunit ribosomal RNA", at positions 30 to 523 of the family's 1533-position model. The record is from RNAcentral.
AUUGAACGCUGGCGGCAUGCUUUACACAUGCAAGUCGAACGGUAACAGGGUGCUUGCACCGCUGACGAGUGGCGAACGGGUGAGUAAUGCGUCGGAACGUGCCGAGUAGUGGGGGAUAACGCAGCGAAAGUUGUGCUAAUACCGCAUACGUACUGAGGUAGAAAGUGGGGGACCUUCGGGCCUCACGCUAUUCGAGCGGCCGACGUCUGAUUAGCUAGUAGGUGAGGUAAAGGCUCACCUAGGCGACGAUCAGUAGCGGGUCUGAGAGGAUGAUCAGCCACACUGGGACUGAGACACGGCCCAGACUCCUACGGGAGGCGGCAGUAGGGAAUUUUGGACAAUGGGCGAAAGCCUGAUCCAGCCAUGCCGCGUGUCUGAAGAAGGCCUUCGGGUUGUAAAGGACUUUUGUCAGGGAGGAAAUCCCUAGUGCUAAUAACACUGGAGGAUGACAGUACCUGAAGAAUAAGCACCGGCUAACUACGUGCCAGCAGCCGCGGUAA